UAAGAGUAAAGUUGUACGGGAAACACGACAUCCAAGGACACGUGGCAGGCACAGGCAAAAUGCCAGUGAUGUGGAGAACAGUCACCCUGAGGACAGCAGCCGUCUCGUUGUAGAGAAGAUGCCAGACAAUGGAAUAUCCACUCCCAUGAGAGAGUCUGAAGGACUAAGGUGUGUUGGAGGGCAUCCACCAUGAAUGAACUGUACGGCAGCGACAAGAAAACCACCCAAGGAGCUGUAUUCCUUCUAACUCACCAGCACUGCCCAACUACAAUAAAUUCCCUUCAUCCCUUCGUUCCACAUGGCUGCUAUUAGUGCCAGUAGUUUCCCUUCAGCUUGUGUUCCACGGAACAGUCUCCUAAACCACAGCAUGAUUUUGACUCACCAUUUCAUUUUAAUUCCUGAUUAAAUACAUACCAGACACAGGAAAACCAACCCUGAACACCAGUUAUUUGUUUAAGGAAUCACCAUAUUAACAGUUUAUGAGGGACCCAGGAAUGGAAAGUUAGACUGACAUUUUCACACCUGCAAUCACCAGAAUCACAGAAGACAGUAGGCAGAAGAAAUACACAUUAAACACUUCAGUUUGUAAGCAACCAGCAACAGAUACAGAGA
Molecule: long non-coding RNA, 612 nt
Organism: Hirundo rustica (Barn swallow)
Lineage: Eukaryota; Metazoa; Chordata; Aves; Passeriformes; Hirundinidae
Exons: 4
Source: RefSeq, a predicted model, not a curated record